RNAcentral lists this ribosomal RNA (372 nucleotides) under Salmonella enterica. Its description in RNAcentral is "bacterial SSU rRNA". It matches the Rfam family "Bacterial small subunit ribosomal RNA", at positions 1172 to 1533 of the family's 1533-position model. The record is from RNAcentral. Lineage: Bacteria; Pseudomonadati; Pseudomonadota; Gammaproteobacteria; Enterobacterales; Enterobacteriaceae.
GGUGGGGAUGACGUCAAGUCAUCAUGGCCCUUACGACCAGGGCUACACACGUGCUACAAUGGCGCAUACAAAGAGAAGCGACCUCGCGAGAGCAAGCGGACCUCAUAAAGUGCGUCGUAGUCCGGAUUGGAGUCUGCAACUCGACUCCAUGAAGUCGGAAUCGCUAGUAAUCGUGGAUCAGAAUGCCACGGUGAAUACGUUCCCGGGCCUUGUACACACCGCCCGUCACACCAUGGGAGUGGGUUGCAAAAGAAGUAGGUAGCUUAACCUUCGGGAGGGCGCUUACCACUUUGUGAUUCAUGACUGGGGUGAAGUCGUAACAAGGUAACCGUAGGGGAACCUGCGGUUGGAUCACCUCCUUACCUGAAAGAA